This 485-nucleotide ribosomal RNA is filed under the name uncultured bacterium. RNAcentral describes it as "partial 16S ribosomal RNA". It matches the Rfam family "Bacterial small subunit ribosomal RNA", at positions 30 to 507 of the family's 1533-position model. The record is from RNAcentral.
AUUGAACGCUGGCGGCAGGCUUAACACAUGCAAGUCGAGCGGGGGAAGGUAGCUUGCUACCGGACCUAGCGGCGGACGGGUGAGUAAUGCUUAGGAAUCUGCCUAUUAGUGGGGGACAACAUCUCGAAAGGGAUGCUAAUACCGCAUACGUCCUACGGGAGAAAGCAGGGGAUCUUCGGACCUUGCGCUAAUAGAUGAGCCUAAGUCGGAUUAGCUAGUUGGUGGGGUAAAGGCCUACCAAGGCGACGAUCUGUAGCGGGUCUGAGAGGAUGAUCCGCCACACUGGGACUGAGACACGGCCCAGACUCCUACGGGAGGCAGCAGUGGGGAAUAUUUGACAAUGGGGGGAACCCUGAUCCAGCCAUGCCGCGUGUGUGAAGAAGGCCUUAUGGUUGUAAAGCACUUUAAGCGAGGAGGAGGCUACUUUAGUUAAUACCUAGAGAUAGUGGACGUUACUCGCAGAAUAAGCACCGGCUAACUCUGUG